This 506-nucleotide ribosomal RNA is filed under the name uncultured bacterium. RNAcentral's name for it is "partial 16S ribosomal RNA". It matches the Rfam family "Bacterial small subunit ribosomal RNA", at positions 29 to 523 of the family's 1533-position model. The record is from RNAcentral.
AGUGAACGCUGGCGGUAGGCCUAACACAUGCAAGUCGAACGGCAGCACAGGAGAGCUUGCUCUCUGGGUGGCGAGUGGCGGACGGGUGAGGAAUACAUCGGAAUCUACUUUUUCGUGGGGGAUAACGUAGGGAAACUUACGCUAAUACCGCAUACGACCUACGGGUGAAAGCAGGGGAUCUUCGGACCUUGCGCGAUUGAAUGAGCCGAUGUCGGAUUAGCUAGUUGGCGGGGUAAAGGCCCACCAAGGCGACGAUCCGUAGCUGGUCUGAGAGGAUAAUCAGCCACACUGGAACUGAGACACGGUCCAGACUCCUACGGGAGGCAGCAGUGGGGAAUAUUGGACAAGGGGCGCAAGCCUGAUCCAGCCAUACCGCGUGGGUGAAGAAGGCCUUCGGGUUGUAAAGCCCUUUUGUUGGGAAAGAAAUCCAGCUGGUUGAUACCCGGUUGGGAUGACGGUACCCAAAGAAUAAGCACCGGCUAACUUCGUGCCAGCCGCCGCAGUAA